Molecule: ribosomal RNA, 210 nt
Filed under: Triticum aestivum (bread wheat)
Lineage: Eukaryota; Viridiplantae; Streptophyta; Magnoliopsida; Poales; Poaceae
Description: partial small subunit ribosomal RNA
Source: RNAcentral
AUGGCGACAACACCGAAGACACGACCAUCAAUGCCGGAUUCAGUGGCUCUACUACCGAUCAAAGGAAGAAACAAUUCAAAAGAAACAGCUCGGGCACGUCCAAUCUGGACCGUAUACUCGACCGUCCAUGCCAAAUUCACGGCACCACGGGAACACCAGCCAAUCACACCAACAGAGAAUACUGGGUCUUCAAACAAGCCGACAGGUUAG